RNAcentral lists this ribosomal RNA (407 nucleotides) under uncultured Gammaproteobacteria bacterium. RNAcentral describes it as "bacterial SSU rRNA". It matches the Rfam family "Bacterial small subunit ribosomal RNA", at positions 8 to 413 of the family's 1533-position model. The record is from RNAcentral. Lineage: Bacteria; Pseudomonadati; Pseudomonadota; Gammaproteobacteria.
AGAGUUUGAUCCUGGCUCAGAUUGAACGCUGGCGGCAUGCCUAACACAUGCAAGUCGAACGGUAACGACGGGAGCUUGCUCCCGGGCGACGAGUGGCGGACGGGUGAGUAAUACUUAGGAAUCUGCCCAGUAGUGGGGGACAACUCGAGGAAACUCGAGCUAAUACCGCAUACGCCCUACGGGGGAAAGUGGAGGAUCUUCGGACUUCACGCUAUUGGAUGAGCCUAAGUCAGAUUAGCUUGUUGGUAGGGUAACGGCCUACCAAGGCGACGAUCUGUAGCUGGUCUGAGAGGACGAUCAGCCACACUGGGACUGAGACACGGCCCAGACUCCUACGGGAGGCAGCAGUGGGGAAUAUUGGACAAUGGGGGCAACCCUGAUCCAGCAAUGCCGCGUGUGUGAAGAAG